GACGAACGCUGGCGGCGUGCUUAACACAUGCAAGUCGAACGGAAAGGCCCUGCUUUUGUGGGGUGCUCGAGUGGCGAACGGGUGAGUAACACGUGAGUAACCUGCCCUUGACUUUGGGAUAACUUCAGGAAACUGGGGCUAAUACCGGAUAGGAGCUCCUGCUGCAUGGUGGGGGUUGGAAAGUUUCGGCGGUUGGGGAUGGACUCGCGGCUUAUCAGCUUGUUGGUGGGGUAGUGGCUUACCAAGGCUUUGACGGGUAGCCGGCCUGAGAGGGUGACCGGCCACAUUGGGACUGAGAUACGGCCCAGACUCCUACGGGAGGCAGCAGUGGGGAAUAUUGCACAAGGGGCGGAAGCCGAUGCAGCAACGCCGCGUGCGGGAUGACGGCCUUCGGGUUGUAAACCGCUUUCGCCUGUGACGAAGCGUGAGUGACGGUAAUGGGUAAAGAAGCACCGGCUAACUACGUG
Molecule: ribosomal RNA, 467 nt
Filed under: uncultured bacterium
Lineage: Bacteria
Description: partial 16S ribosomal RNA
Rfam family: Bacterial small subunit ribosomal RNA
Source: RNAcentral